Long non-coding RNA from Rosa rugosa (rugosa rose), 1537 nucleotides. RefSeq lists it as uncharacterized. The transcript has 4 exons. The record is from RefSeq and is a predicted model, not a curated record. Lineage: Eukaryota; Viridiplantae; Streptophyta; Magnoliopsida; Rosales; Rosaceae.
UAGUUCGAACGAUUAAUUUUCGAAAAAACGAACGUUAUUUAGGGGCUCGCGAAAGUUGACUUUUUAUACGUUCAAAAUUUGGGAAAACUUUCUUCAUGAAAGUUGUAGAGCUCGUCGAUACGAUCGCGUGCAUAUGCGGAACGCAAAAAUCGGAGUUCGUAUGAAUUAGUUAUGAUUUUUUGAAAAAGUUUCCAAUUUAGUAUAAAGCUUCCAUUUUUGGAAAUUUCCAAAAAUAAAAACAGAUUUUUCCAAAAUUGGAAAAUCUGCUGCGAUUUUAGUUCCCCGCCGGAAAUCGCCUCCAAAACUUCGAUCGACGAUUUCUUCCUCCUCCGGCCACCGAUCCUCACCAAACUUCUUCCAUUGGCUUCGUAUGGUCCUUGCGCACCUGUCUGUGGCAGCCUUUCACGGCGGCGCGGCCUGUAGCGGCGGCGGCAAGCCCGGUCCGAUUUAAGCUCGAUUUUGGUCAACGCCGGUUUUCUCCUAGCUCCGGCCACCAAAACUUCCGAUCCUUGGCUUCAUGAACUCCCCUCAACCUGCUGAUCAUCAUACUAGGAGGAUUGCACCUAGAGUGACCGGUUUCACGUUCGUCGGAGCUCGUGGGUUCCCCUUGAUGUUAUUAACAACUCUCUAGAAGGCAUCGAGGCCUGAAAUUGAAGCUUUGACGUCGAAAUCGAGCCUUGCCGGAUUCUGCAAAAUUCUGGAAUUUUUCCGACCACCGAAGCUUUCGAUCGGUAUAUCUCGAGCUACAGGCCAUAUUUUUCUGUGAUUCUUGAACCAGUGAGUUCUUCUUGAGUUUCUUAACAACUCUUCAGAAGGAAUCGAAGCCUUAAAUUGACGUUUUUACGUCGAAUUGGAGCUCGCCGUUUUCUGCAGUUUCUCGCCGGUUUCUGGAAAAUUCCGGCCACCUUCAUACUGUUCAAGGUGAUUGACGGUUUAAGUUGGUGGACGAUUGUGGAUCGUAUUCUGAGCUGUUGAGAAGACGCAGCGGGAUUAGAGCGGGUAAUCCUACAGGACAGGAGAACCAGGACGGUGAUCGUGCGGUUAGAGCAAUUGUUAGAGUUUUACAGCAAUUGUACGUUGUGAGGUGUGUUAUGCUCAUUUGAGCUUUACAAUAUUGCUUGUGAGAGUGAAUUGUAAUAAUGAACUCGAAGUUUCGAGAUUUGGAUUUUGUAAUUGUAAUUAUUCAUGUUUCGGAUUUGAAUUUAUUAUUCAAAAUUCGGGGCGUGACAGUUUGGUAUCAGAGCGUAAGGUACAUAUUUGGUGAUAAUCAAUACUUCCCGAGUGAUGGCCCGUCUGCAGCGGAUCCCCAUCAUAUACUCUUCGGUAUUGGUAUAAUCAUUGGGUAUGUCUUAGUAUGGGGUCUAGACAGCGUGUAUGUCCGUAGGACGGUAGAGUUGCCUUCUAAGUUCGUAUUAGAAUAAGUUUAGUUUCCGCGAGUUGUGAUCUUCGAGGAAUGGAAACCUCCGGAUUUAACUCUGAUGAGUCAGUGAGGAUUGUUUAUGGAAAUGAGUUUCCUUUUGUAUGUAGAAGUGUUUGG